AGGACACGCUGGCGGCGUGCCUAACACAUGCAAGUCGAACGGGAUCCAUGGAGUGCUUGCACUCCGGAAGAUCUAGUGGCGAACGGGUGAGUAACACGUGAGAAACCUGCCCCAGACUCUGGGAUAACCUCGGGAAACCGAAGCUAAUACCGGAUAUUCUCCUUUGGUCGCAUGGCCAGUUGAGGAAAGUUUUUCGGUCUGGGAGGGUCUCGCGGCCUAUCAGCUAGUUGGUGGGGUAACGGCCCACCAAGGCUACGACGGGUAGCUGGUUUGAGAGAACGAUCAGCCACACUGGAACUGAGACACGGUCCAGACUCCUACGGGAGGCAGCAGUGGGGAAUCUUGCGCAAUGGGCGAAAGCCUGACGCAGCAACGCCGCGUGCGGGAUGAAGGCCUUCGGGUUGUAAACCGCUUUCAGCAGGGACGAAAAUGACGGUACCUGCAGAAGAAGCCCCGGCUAACUACGUG
RNAcentral lists this ribosomal RNA (468 nucleotides) under uncultured bacterium. Its description in RNAcentral is "bacterial SSU rRNA". It matches the Rfam family "Bacterial small subunit ribosomal RNA", at positions 33 to 507 of the family's 1533-position model. The record is from RNAcentral.